Molecule: ribosomal RNA, 465 nt
Filed under: uncultured bacterium
Lineage: Bacteria
Description: partial 16S ribosomal RNA
Rfam family: Bacterial small subunit ribosomal RNA
Source: RNAcentral
CCUACGGGUGGCAGCAGUGGGGAAUAUUGCGCAAUGGGCGAAAGCCUGACGCAGCGACGCCGCGUGAGGGAUGAAGGUCUUCGGAUCGUAAACCUCUGUCAGCAGGGAAGAACGGUCACUGUGCUAAUCAGCAGUGAAUUGACGGUACCUGCAAAGGAAGCACCGGCUAACUCCGUGCCAGCAGCCGCGGUAAUCCGGAGGGUGCGAGCGUUAAUCGGAAUUACUGGGCGUAAGGCGCUCGUCGGCGGUAUUGCAAGGCAAGGGUGAAAUCCCCGCGCUCAACGUGGGAACUGCCUUUGAAACUGGCAAAAUGGAGUGUGUGAGAGGAUAGUGGAAUUACAGGUGUAGGAGUGAAAUCUGUAGAUAUCUGGAGGAACAUCAGUGGCGAAGGCGACUAUCUGGCACAUAACUGACGCUGAGGAGCGAAAGCGUGGGUAGCAAACAGGAUUAGAUACCCGUGUAGUC